This 483-nucleotide ribosomal RNA is filed under the name uncultured bacterium. Its description in RNAcentral is "partial 16S ribosomal RNA". It matches the Rfam family "Bacterial small subunit ribosomal RNA", at positions 30 to 506 of the family's 1533-position model. The record is from RNAcentral.
AUUGAACGCUGGCGGCAGGCCUAACACAUGCAAGUCGAGCGGAUGAAGGGAGCUUGCUCCUGGAUUCAGCGGCGGACGGGUGAGUAAUGCCUAGGAAUCUGCCUGGUAGUGGGGGAUAACGUCCGGAAACGGGCGCUAAUACCGCAUACGUCCUGAGGGAGAAAGUGGGGGAUCUUCGGACCUCACGCUAUCAGAUGAGCCUAGGUCGGAUUAGCUAGUUGGUGGGGUAAAGGCCUACCAAGGCGACGAUCCGUAACUGGUCUGAGAGGAUGAUCAGUCACACUGGAACUGAGACACGGUCCAGACUCCUACGGGAGGCAGCAGUGGGGAAUAUUGGACAAUGGGCGAAAGCCUGAUCCAGCCAUGCCGCGUGUGUGAAGAAGGUCUUCGGAUUGUAAAGCACUUUAAGUUGGGAGGAAGGGCAGUAAGUUAAUACCUUGCUGUUUUGACAUUACCAACAGAAUAAGCACCGGCGAACUUCGU